AUACGUAGGGGGCGAGCGUUGUCCGGAAUGAUUGGGCGUAAAGGGCGCGUAGGCGGCGCGGUAAGUCUGGAGUGAAAGUCCUGCUUUCAAGGUGGGAAUUGCUUUGGAUACUGCCGCGCUUGAGUGCAGGAGAGGUUAUCGGAAUUCCCGGUGUAGCGGUGAAGUGCGUAGAGAUCGGGAGGAACACCAGUGGCGAAGGCGGGUAACUGGACUGCAACUGACGCUGAGGCGCGAAAGUGUGGGGAGCAAACAGGAUUAGAUACCCUGGUAGUCCACACUGUAAACGAUGAAUGCUAGGUGUAAGAGGUAUCGACCCCUUUUGUGCCGGAGUCAACACAAUAAGCAUUCCGCCUGGGGAGUACGGCCGCAAGGUUGAAACUCAAAGGAAUUGACGGGG
This 397-nucleotide ribosomal RNA is filed under the name uncultured bacterium. Its description in RNAcentral is "partial 16S ribosomal RNA". It matches the Rfam family "Bacterial small subunit ribosomal RNA", at positions 523 to 918 of the family's 1533-position model. The record is from RNAcentral.